RNAcentral lists this ribosomal RNA (1365 nucleotides) under Janibacter anophelis. RNAcentral describes it as "16S ribosomal RNA". It matches the Rfam family "Bacterial small subunit ribosomal RNA", at positions 62 to 1431 of the family's 1533-position model. The record is from RNAcentral. Lineage: Bacteria; Bacillati; Actinomycetota; Actinomycetes; Micrococcales; Intrasporangiaceae.
UCGGACGGUGUAGCUCACGCUUGCUUGGGUGGAUAAGUGGCGAACGGGUGAGUAACACGUGAGCAACCUGCCCCGGACUCUGGAAUAAGCGCUGGAAACGGCGUCUAAUACUGGAUAUGACACCAAUCCGCAUGGGUAUGGUGUGGAAAGUUUUUCGGUCUGGGAUGGGCUCGCGGCCUAUCAGCUUGUUGGUGAGGUAAUGGCUCACCAAGGCGACGACGGGUAGCCGGCCUGAGAGGGCGACCGGCCACACUGGGACUGAGACACGGCCCAGACUCCUACGGGAGGCAGCAGUGGGGAAUAUUGCACAAUGGGCGAAAGCCUGAUGCAGCGACGCCGCGUGAGGGAUGACGGCCUUCGGGUUGUAAACCUCUUUCAACAGGGAAAAAACGAAAGUGACGGUACCUGCACAAAAAGCACCGGCUAACUACAUGCGCACACCCCCCGUAAUACGUACGGGGCGAGCGUUGGCCCGGAAUAGUGGGCCUAAAGAGCUUGUAAGAGGUUUGUCGCGGCUGCGCUGGAAAACCGGGGCCCCCCCUCCGACUUUUGAUUGUGGGCCGGGCCACUAUACCGUGGGGGGGGGGGAGUUUGGAUUUUUUGGGGGAGCGGGGAUGAAAUGCGCAGAUAUCAGGAGGAACACGGCGGGGAUGGCAGGUCUGUGCCCCACUGCUGACGCUGAGAAGCGAAAGCAUGGGGAGCGAACAGGAUUAGAUACCGUGGUCCUCCAUGCCGUAAACGUUGGGCGGUAGGUGUGGGACUCUUUCCACGUUUUCCGUGCCGCAGAUAACGCAUUAAGCCCCCCCCCUGGGGAGUACGGCCGCAAGGCUAAAACUCAAAGGAAUUGACGGGGGCCCGCACAAGCGGCGGAGCAUGAGGAUUAAUUCGAUGCAACGCGAAGAACCUUACCAAGGCUUGACAUAUACCGGAAACAUCCAGAGAUGGGUGCCCCUUUUAGGUCGGUAUACAGGUGGUGCAUGGUUGUCGUCAGCUCGUGUCGUGAGAUGUUGGGUUAAGUCCCGCAACGAGCGCAACCCUCGUUCUAUGUUGCCAGCACGUGAUGGUGGGGACUCAUGGAAGACUGCCGGGGUCAACUCGGAGGAAGGUGGGGAUGACGUCAAAUCAUCAUGCCCCUUAUGUCUUGGGCUUCACGCAUGCUACAAUGGCCGGUACAAAGGGCUGCGAAACCGUAAGGUGGAGCGAAUCCCAAAAAACCGGUCUCAGUUCGGAUUGGGGUCUGCAACUCGACCCCAUGAAGUCGGAGUCGCUAGUAAUCGCAGAUCAGCAACGCUGCGGUGAAUACGUUCCCGGGCCUUGUACACACCGCCCGUCAAGUCACGAAAGUCGGUUAUAGUUGAAGCCGGU